Molecule: unclassified non-coding RNA, 180 nt
Filed under: rhizosphere metagenome
Description: partial ribosomal RNA internal transcribed spacer region
Source: RNAcentral
GAGUUUACAACUCCCAAACCCCUGUGAACAUACCUAUUGUUGCUUCGGCGGGAUCGCCCCGGCGCCCUCGGGCCCGGACCCAGGCGCCCGCCGGAGGACCCAAACUCUUGUCUUCAUGAGUAUCUUCUGAGUAAUACAAGCAAAUAAAUUAAAACUUUCAACAACGGAUCUCUUGGUUCU